UUUAUUUUGGUUUUAUAUGGAUUUAUUUUAUUUAUUAAAAUUUUUAUAUUUUAUAGUAAUGGGUAUAGAAAUAAUUAUUAUUUUUUAGUACUAAAGGGGAUAUAUAAUUAUUAUAAAUAUAGUAAAAUUUAAUUUUUGUACCUUUUGCAUAAUGGUUUAAUAAUAUUUAUUAAUUUAUUUUUUGUUCUCGAAAUAUAAAGAUUUAUUUACUUUAUUUUAUAUGGUAGUUAGCGUGGUAUAGCUAUUAUCUUAAUAGUAAAUGGUAGUGAAAUGUUAUUCGGUUUAUAUGGUAGCUAGUUUAUUAUUAUGAACAUUUUAGUGUUAUUUAAAGUUAAUUAUUGUUUGGUAACUAUAAUUUUAAAUUAAUGAUUAGGGGAUAAGCUUUAAGAUUUUUUUUGUGAGAAUUUUGAUUUGUUAUUUAAUUAAAGUUGAAUUAAUAAUUUUUCUUUUUAUUAUUUUAUAUAAUAAAUAUAUUUAUUUUGUUCCUUAUUUAUGUUUAAUAAAUUUUUUUUAUUAAUUUAAAAUUAAAUAUAAUGUUAAAAUGAGUAUUUAUAUAGUUUAUUUUGAUGCUUUAAAAAUGAUUUAUGAAGAUUAGGUUUGUAUUAUUUAAAUGUGUAUUGAUAAAGUAAGUCAAAGGAACUUUGCAAAUAUUAAUUUCGCCUGUUUAUUAAAAACAUGUCUCUUUGAUUUAUUUUAAUAAAGAGUUGGGCCUGCUCGGUGAUUAAUAUUUAACAGCUGCGGUAUUAUAACUGUACUAAGGUAGCAUAAUAAUUUGCCUUAUAAAUUGAGGCUAGAAUGAAUGGUUUGACGAAAAUUAUACUGUCUCUGUCUUAUUUAUUAGAAGUUAAUUUUUAUAGUGAGAAAGCUUGGAUAAUUUAAAGGGACGAAAAGACCCUAUUGAGCUUUAUAUUAUACUUUAAAAUUAUUUAUUGUUUUUAUUUAAAUAUAAUUUUGGUUGGGGUGAUCAAGGAAUAAAUAAUUAAUUUUAACUUCCUUAAUUUGUUUAUAGUUAUAUGAAUAAACCAAAUUUUUUGCUUAGAAGAUAAGUUACCAUAGGGAUAACAGCGUAAUUUUUUUUGAAAGUUCAUAUUGAAAAAAGAGAUUGCGACCUCGAUGUUGGAUUAAAAUAACCUUAAGGUGAAGAGGCUUUAAUUGGUGAAUCUGUUCGAUUUUUAAAAUUUUACAUGAACUGAGUUCAGACCGGUGUAAACCAGGUUGGUUUUUAUCUUUUAAAUUUAUUUCUUAUUUAGUUUAGUACGAAAGGAUUAACUAAAAUUGAUUUUUUAUUAAUUAUAUAAGAUAU
RNAcentral lists this ribosomal RNA (1303 nucleotides) under Amphioctopus aegina. RNAcentral's name for it is "large subunit ribosomal RNA". The stretch from base 1058 to 1217 matches the Rfam family "Archaeal large subunit ribosomal RNA", at positions 2542 to 2701 of the family's 2987-position model. Lineage: Eukaryota; Metazoa; Mollusca; Cephalopoda; Octopoda; Octopodidae. The record is from RNAcentral.